Molecule: ribosomal RNA, 468 nt
Filed under: uncultured bacterium
Lineage: Bacteria
Description: partial 16S ribosomal RNA
Rfam family: Bacterial small subunit ribosomal RNA
Source: RNAcentral
GACGAACGCUGGCGGCGUGCUUAACACAUGCAAGUCGAACGGAAAGGCCCUGCUUUUGUGGGGUGCUCGAGUGGCGAACGGGUGAGUAACACGUGAGUAACCUGCCCUUGACUUUGGGAUAACUUCAGGAAACUGGGGCUAAUACCGGAUAGGAGCUCCUGCUGCAUGGUGGGGGUUGGAAAGUUUCGGCGGUUGGGGAUGGACUCGCGGCUUAUCAGCUUGUUGGUGGGGUAGUGGCUUACCAAGGCUUUGACGGGUAGCCGGCCUGAGAGGGUGACCGGCCCCAUUGGGCCUGCGCUACGGCCCAGACUCCUACGGGAGGCAGCAGUGGGGAAUAUUGCACAAUGGGCGGAAGCCUGAUGCAGCAACGCCGCGUGCGGGAUGACGGCCUUCGGGUUGUAAACCGCUUUCGCCUGUGACGAAGCGUGAGUGACGGUAAUGGGUAAAGAAGCACCGGCUAACUACGUG